Molecule: ribosomal RNA, 1000 nt
Filed under: Saccharomyces cerevisiae (brewer's yeast)
Lineage: Eukaryota; Fungi; Ascomycota; Saccharomycetes; Saccharomycetales; Saccharomycetaceae
Description: SSU rRNA
Rfam family: Eukaryotic small subunit ribosomal RNA
Source: RNAcentral
AGAUCCGAAUGUGGUGAUAGGUAUAGCAUUUAUACAGUGAAACUGCGAAUGGCUCAUUAAAUCAGUUAUCGUUUAUUUGAUAGUUCCUUUACUACAUGGUAUAACUGUGGUAAUUCUAGAGCUAAUACAUGCUUAAAAUCUCGACCCUUUGGAAGAGAUGUAUUUAUUAGAUAAAAAAUCAAUGUCUUCGGACUCUUUGAUGAUUCAUAAUAACUUUUCGAAUCGCAGGCCUUGUGCUGGCGAUGGUUCAUUCAAAUUUCUGCCCUAUCAACUUUCGAUGGUGGAUAGUGGCCUACCAUGGUUUCAACGGGUAACGGGGAAUAAGGGUUCGAUUCCGGAGAGGGAGCCUGAGAAACGGCUACCACAUCCAAGGAAGGCAGCAGGCGCGCAAAUUACCCAAUCCUAAUUCAGGGAGGUAGUGACAAUAAAUAACGAUACAGGGCCCAUUCGGGUCUUGUAAUUGGAAUGAGUACAAUGUAAAUACCUUAACGAGGAACAAUUGGAGGGCAAGUCUGGUGCCAGCAGCCGCGGUAAUUCCAGCUCCAAUAGCGUAUAUAAAGUUGUUGCAGUUAAAAAGCUCGUAGUUGAACUUUGGGCCCGGUUGGCCGGUCCGAUUUUUCGUGUACUGGAUUUCCAACGGGGCCUUUCCUUCUGGCUAACCUUGAGUCCUUGUGGCUCUGGCGAACCAGGACUUUUACUUUGAAAAAAUUAGAGUGUUCAAAGCAGGCGUAUUGCUCGAAUAUAUAGCAUGGAAUAAUAGAAUAGGACGUUUGGUUCUAUUUUGUUGGUUUCUAGGACCAUCGUAAUGAUUAAUAGGGGACGGUCGGGGGCAUCAGUAUUCAAUUGUCAGAGGUGAAAUUCUUGGAUUUAUUGAAGACUAACUACUGCGAAAGCAUUUGCCAAGGACGUUUUCAUUAAUCAAGAACGAAAGGUAAGGAGGAUCGAAGAUGAUCAGAUACCGUCGUAGUCUUAACCAUAAACUAUGCCGACUAGGGAUCGG